RNAcentral lists this long non-coding RNA (370 nucleotides) under Rhinopithecus bieti (black snub-nosed monkey). Its description in RNAcentral is "lncRNA (ENSRBIG00000046660.1)". Lineage: Eukaryota; Metazoa; Chordata; Mammalia; Primates; Cercopithecidae. The record is from RNAcentral.
CACAGCUCCACCACAGUCACCGCCCAUAAUCUCUGAUCCUCCUGCACCAAGAGUUGGCAUUGGUGGGAUUUCUGUGUCUGAGUCACUGUUGCCUACUAUCUACUGCAGACAGGAUAUUUCACACAGAAGACAUACCUGCUGACAGCUCUGGGGUUGCAUUCACAAAGCUCCCUUCCUCUAUUCAAUUCAAAAACUUUCAAGACAAGACUCAGAUUGGCUUGACGGAAUCAUAUGCCAACUCCUACGUAUAGGAGAUAGGAUAGUACUACAGAUAAACCCAAAUGCAAAAGGAGCAAAUCUGUAAAACAAAGGGGAUGCACUUCCUAGAAGAAAGGUGAGGCUGAGCACUUUGGCUCACAUAUGUAAUCCC